Epinephelus lanceolatus (giant grouper) is the source of this 8492-nucleotide non-coding RNA. The record is from RefSeq and is a predicted model, not a curated record. NCBI's taxonomy places the organism in Eukaryota, Metazoa, Chordata, Actinopteri, Perciformes, Serranidae.
UCGUGGCAGAGCAGAGAUGUAGUGUAGCUCGCUGGGACUCCGUGGCCAGCCGUCUGUCACUUUUACCGGGGAUCAUUUGUCUGACAUCGCCGCGGAAUGGGAAGGAUCGGAUUUAUAAUUUUGCACAGUUCCACUGCAUGAACGUGUCGCGUGAUGCGACCGAGAAGAGCUGCCUGCGGGGGGAAAUAUUUAUGGUUCGGGACGGUUUUGUUGGAGUAGCUAGUUGCUAGCGCUGGGCUAGCGACUGUGCUGGCUACUUCGAACGUAUUUGUUAAGGAUGCUACGGUGGAUACGACAACAGCUGGGCUUUGACCCCCCUCAUCAGAGCGACACCAGGACGGUUUAUGUAGCAAACCGUUUCCCCCAGCAUGGCCACUACAUACCACAACGCUUUGCUGACAACAGAAUCAUUUCCUCCAAGUACACAAUUUGGAAUUUUGUCCCUAAGAAUCUGUUUGAGCAGUUCAGAAGGAUAGCCAACUUCUAUUUUCUCAUCAUCUUCCUUGUGCAGUUAAUGAUAGACACCCCAACUUCCCCAGUCACCAGCGGCCUGCCUCUCUUCUUUGUGAUCACAGUAACUGCUAUAAAACAGGGCUAUGAGGAUUGGCUGAGACACAAGGCGGACAACGAGGUGAAUGGUGCUCCAGUGUUUGUGGUUCGCAGUGGAAGUCUGGUCCAGACAAGAUCAAAGAACAUCAGGGUGGGGGAUAUUGUUCGUGUAGCUAAAGAUGAGACGUUCCCAGCUGACCUGGCACUGCUGUCGUCAGAUCGUGCAGAUGGCACCUGUCACAUCACCACAGCCAGCCUCGAUGGAGAAACCAACCUUAAGACUCACUACUCCGUGGCGGAGACCUCAGUGUGUCAGUCAGUAACCCAACUGGAGGCUCUGCAGGCUGUGGUGGAGUGUCAGCAACCGGAAGCAGACUUGUACAGGUUUGUUGGUCGGAUUACGGUGACUCAACAAGGAGAGGAGAUUGUCAGACCACUGGGCCCAGAGAAUCUGCUGCUGCGAGGAGCCAGGUUGAAAAAUACCAAAGAGAUUUUUGGUGUGGCUGUUUACACGGGGAUGGAGUCCAAAAUGGCCCUCAACUAUAAGUGCAAGUCCCAGAAACGCUCUGCUGUAGAGAAGUCCAUGAAUACCUUCCUAAUCAUCUACCUGGGCAUCUUGCUGUUCGAGGCUGUCCUCAGCACCAUCCUGAAGUAUGCCUGGCAGGCUGAGGACAAAUGGGACGAGCCUUUCUACAACCAGAAGACUGAACAAGAGAGAAACAGCAGUCCGAUCUUAAAGUUCAUCUCAGACUUCUUGGCGUUUCUGGUCCUCUAUAACUUCAUCAUCCCCAUCUCACUCUACGUUACUGUGGAGAUGCAGAAGUUUCUGGGCUCCUUUUUCAUUGGCUGGGAUUUAGACCUUUACCAUGAGGAGAGCGACCAGAAAGCUCAGGUCAACACCUCUGACCUCAAUGAGGAGCUGGGACAGGUGGAGUAUGUGUUUACAGAUAAGACGGGUACGCUAACGGAAAAUGAGAUGCAGUUCCGUGAAUGUUCAAUUAACGGAACCAAGUACCGAGAAGUUAACGGCAAACUGGUACCAGAGGGAAUGACUGACGAUUCUCCAGAUGGUUCUACGCCUCACCUGAUUGGAGAGGAACUGUUAUUUCUCAAGGCGGUGUCAUUGUGUCACACGGUUCAGAUCAGCUACGACCAGCCGGACUGCCUGGUUGGGGGAGGAGACCCAUUCUCCCAUGUAAAUGGUUUCUCCUCCAAUCACAUGGAAUACUACGCCUCUUCACCAGACGAGAAAGCUUUAGUAGAGGCAGCAAAGAGGAUUGGAGUGGCCUUCACUUGCAGCAAUGGGGAGACCAUGGAAAUCAAAACAUUUGGCAAGUCAGAGAAAUAUAAACUGCUCCAUGUGUUAGAGUUUGAUGCUGACCGCAGGAGGAUGAGCGUCAUACUGCAGACUCCCUCAGGAGGCCAAGUGCUGUUCACCAAGGGUGCAGAGUCUGCCAUCUUACCUUUCACUACCAGUGGAGAGAUAGAAAAGACAAGACUACACGUUGAUGAGUUUGCAUUGAAAGGUUUGCGAACCUUAGUUGUAGCGUGUCGCCACUUCAGCCCGGAGGAGUACAUUGAAGUGGACAGGCGUCUGAACGCUGCUCGCACCGCGCUGCAGCAGAGGGAAGAGAGACUGCAGGAGGCCUUCAGCUUCAUUGAGAGGGACCUGCAGCUGCUGGGAGCAACGGGGGUUGAGGACAAACUCCAAGACAAAGUCCAGGAGACCAUUGAGGCUCUGCGACUGGCAGGGAUCAAAGUGUGGGUGCUGACAGGGGACAAACAUGAGACGGCGGUCAGCGUCAGCCUGUCCUGUGGCCACUUCCACAGAACCAUGAACAUUUUAGAGCUUCUGCAGCAACAUUCUGAUAACGAAUGUGCUGAGCAGCUCCGCAGACUGGCGAGAAGGAUAAAGGAGGACCACGUCAUACAGCAUGGGUUAGUCGUGGAUGGGGCCAGUCUGUCAUUAGCAUUGAGGGAACACGAGAAGCUCUUCAUGGAAGUGUGUAAAAACUGUUCAGCUGUGUUGUGCUGCCGCAUGGCCCCGCUCCAGAAAGCAAAGGUUGUGCGUCUUUUAAAAACCUCUCCGGAGAAACCCAUCACCCUAGCUAUUGGUGAUGGAGCCAAUGAUGUCAGUAUGAUACAGGAAGCUCAUGUAGGCAUAGGUAUCAUGGGGAAGGAGGGUCGUCAGGCCGUGAGAAACAGUGACUAUGCAAUUGCCAGGUUUAAGUUCCUGGCUAAACUUCUGCUGGUCCACGGUCACUUCUACUACAUUCGAAUAGCUACGCUUGUACAGUACUUUUUCUACAAGAAUGUGUGUUUUAUCACGCCCCAGUUUUUAUACCAAUUCUUCUGUCUGUUUUCACAACAAACUCUGUAUGACAGUGUUUAUCUGACACUGUACAACAUCUGCUUCACGUCGUUGCCCAUUCUAGUGUACAGUUUGUUUGAACAGCUGGUCCAUCCACACGUGCUGCAGAACAAACCUGGCCUGUACAGGGACAUCAGCAAGAACUCUCUGCUGUCUUUCCGAACGUUCCUGUACUGGACUCUGUUGGGCUUCUGUCACGCCUUCGUCUUCUUCUUUGGAUCCUACAUACUGAUGGGAGAAGACACCACACUUAUGGGCAAUGGACAGAUCUUGCGAGCUAACAGGCAGCUGAUGUUUGGGAACUGGACAUUUGGAACGCUGGUCUUUACUGUCAUGGUCAUCACAGUCACAUUAAAGCUUGCUUUGGAGACUCAUUUCUGGACGUGGAUGAACCAUUUUGUGACGUGGGGUUCGAUUGCCUUCUACUUCAUCUUCUCUCUCUUUUAUGGAGGCAUCAUCUGGCCGUUCCUCCACACCCAGGACAUGUACUUUGUAUUCGUACAGCUGCUGUCCAGCGGUUCUGCGUGGUUCGCCAUCAUCAUUAUCGUUAUAACUUGCCUCUUUCCUGAUGUGUUGAAGAAGGUCUUCUACCGGCACCUGCAGCCCACCAGCACACAGAAGAGUCAGAUGUAUUCCAACCGUGUGGCGAUAGGUGAUGACUUCAUCGCUCUGCAGCCUCUGUCCAGAGCCAAGAGCCAGCUGGGCAAAAUUAGUCUCUAUCAGCCUCCCAGGCGCAGGCCCUCAGCUGUGUGGAGUCCUUGUGCUGCUACCAACAUGGGCAGAGCGGCUGUUCCCGCUUGGCCCGCCUCCUGGAGCAAAUGACCGGGCAGUGCCAGGCCAGCGCCAACCAUUGCCACACAUCCAGCCGCAGCAACAGGUCUUGGAGCGAUACGGAGAACUUCUACUCCAACGAUCGCAGUAUCCUGACGCUGUCGCCCAUGGAGGCCACCCACUGCUGACUCCCAGGGCCGCUGACUGUAACAGGCAGAGCUGGGGGAGACUCCACUAGGAGAAUAUAAUCACCCUCCUGCCUCUAUUUUAUAAACUUACUUCAGUUUAAGCUCAGUACAUUCUCAGCUGGAUGCAACACAGACUCUUGUGAAACCAAAGGACUCAGCUUGAUGCAGCAGGCUGCUUUCUUCUUCAUCAAUUUGUUUCCCCCAGUGAAUCAGUCCUUAGUAGCAACGUUGAGAAGGACAUCAGACGGGAGCUGCGACAUGGAAGGAAAUAAAACAUGAAGUGUGGCGCAAGUCAGCGUGGCAUGAAGCUGACAUCUGUGGAGCUACUCAUGAAGGAAGACCCGAUCAACCUCUGAGCAGAUCCCUUCUGCAUAUAGUUUCUGAAAGUCCUGCAAAAGUAUCGAAAAACAUUUAAAUUCAGGACAUUUUUUAAGGUCAAAAGAAGAUAUGUCAGCUCACAGGUGCUCCCCUCUGAGAUCAGCCCAGGUACAUGAACUCUAAUGCAGCUAUUUAUUUUUUCAGCACAGUUGCCAAACUUAUUUUUUCAUGCAACUGGCAUUAAAAUGACCUUGUAAGUCUCAUAUAUAUAUUUGUAGACACAGAAUGGAGACUCUGAUGGACAUCUUGCUAGCUGAUGUCAGGCAGCAGUCCUGCUCGAAGCAAUGCAGCCUGUAAGGACUGUAACCUAAACAAGCUGGUUUCGACAUGCUGAUUAAACUCAACACAGGACUGAGGUGGCUUAUAGACCCUGAUAUCCAGGAUGUAGCACCAGGACAGAAGCUCCGUGAAGUCAGACUACAUUAGGGGGAGGAGGAUCUCUGAGAUGUCAGCUAGCAGCUAAGGCCGAACAUCAUGUUGCUUCCAUAAACUGCUGCAUUAACUUUCUCUUUGAGCCCUUGGCCCCGCUGCACCUUCGUUUCUCAUUCAGAUGGAAAGGGAAAAAGUUAGACCUGUAGCUUUCAGAGCUUUACUGGUUCUGCUAACGUCUAGACUAGUUUCCUUAGGACCUACAGUACUCCGUAGAUACUGUACAAGGAGAUUCAUCUCUCUCAUGGAACCAAAGACCAAAAGAUUCAAACUGGAGUUUAAAGAAAAAAGUGUUUAUUUUUGUGCCUGAUUGUACAGAAGCUUAUAUCGUUGUUAAGAAGACUAUCGUUAUUGUUAGUGCUGCUUUCUCGUCAGACUGUUCAGGCCCCUGUCUCCCCGCUGCAUUGCUCUGAAGGAGGCCGGAUGGGGUCUGUUUGAAAAGCCAUACAUUUUCAAGAGCUUAUAUUGUAGAUUAUCAAAGGUACUGCAGAUUGAAGCUGUUUGAGCCUGUUGUUACUUAGUGUCUGGAAUCUUGUUCCCCUUGAAUGCCUUUUUCUCAUUCAGCCGGGUUAGCAAAAGCAUCUUAGCAUUAAAGACCGCGACGCUUGGGGAGUAUUUUGAGGUAACGGGGUCAGUGCUGAAAGCUGACUUAAUGAGGUUUUAUAGGGAGAAUCAUCCCUCUCAGUCGCCUGAAAAUAUUACCCGAAUAUCAGAUCAGAUAAUGGUACCAAUUUUUUUCCCUUUCUUUCCUAAACAAGACAAAAUGGCUUUAAUGGCGAGACGCUUUUCCAAAUCACGGCUGCCGCAUGUCGACCCAGACAGCAGAAUGUCUCUAUCUUUAGAGAGAUAGCUAUAUCAGAUGAAUAUAACUCAGCUUCUACAGAGAUGAAAAGAAUAGCAGAGCAUUUGCACAAGUCACAUAUCAAAACCACAUUUAGUUGUUUCUCAAACCAUUACUCGUCUGUCACCAUUGAAAUCAUCUGAAUCAUGUUUUUGCUGUUAUGUUGUUCUGUCCACCUGUUGAUGAAGUGUGUGAAUCUGUGUGUGUUUGUGUUUCUUGUGUGGCAGCCAUGUUGGUUGAAGGAAGUAUGGUACGUAGCAUUGUUGUAAGCUCUUUGUAUGCUCUCAGUGGUCACAUGUUGCCCGCAGGUCAAAGGUAAAAAAAAAAUUUAUGCUUGGUUUGGCGUCUCUUCUUCCAAAAAAAAAGUAGGUGAAAUGUAGAAAUGUUUCAAGACAACCGUUUUAAACUUGACAUCAACAACGACUGGUACAUGCCUCAGCUCAGACAGGAAACAUACUGAGUCAUAGGAUUUGUCUGUUGCUAUGGUUACUGUUUCAACAAAUCAGAGAGUCAGUAAUGUUUUCGUCAGUUGUUUAUUUUCUGUACGGUACACGUUGUUUGAUGCACACCUGGGCCUGUUAUAUCAUCUCUUUUCAUACAGGUUCAACUGACAGUGAAAGUGUCUAUUUAUUAUUGUGGUACCUUUUUUUUUUUCUGUGUUUGUUUUGAACUUCUCUGACAUAUCAUUAUAAAUGUGAGUCCUGUACAUGACCUGAACAUGGCAACUUCCCACAAUGUUUUACUUGAUCUCAGACACAUAAUUGGGAGGAUGUAGCUCCGUGUUAGCUGUUUUUGUGUUUGACCUGAAAAGCAACAGUGCAGAUGGGAGCUGUCUGACAUAAACAGGAUGUUUAUAAUGUUACAGGACAUUUCAAUGAGCAUAAGGACAUUUUGAAACUUCCAGUUAGAUCACUCUGUCGUGCAACCCAACAGAAUCUUAUCAGGCCGCAUUUACACAGGAAAUUACUUUGCUUUUUUUUACUUACUGAACUUAUCUGAUAUUAAAAAGUGUACCUGGAUACACCUAUGAUUCUUGCAAUCUGUACCUGGAUAAGGAAAAUAUGUUUCUGCUGUUACUGCACCAAUUUUAGACAUAAAAGUCCGUUUACUUGUCAUGAAGAGCUCAGCCUGUGAAGAUAGUUGUAUAAUGUCCUCUGUGGCUGUGAGAGCACUUUGAUGUCUGAGAAAUGCGUUCUUGAGACUUCAAAAACAUUGGAAGAAAUGCUUCUUUAUAAACGAGGGCAUGUAACGGGCAGGAGUUGAUGUUCAGAUGCUUUUAAGUUGUAUGAGAAUUGUAGGAUCUAGCCUUAUAUACUGAAACGAGGGACUUAAAAUCAGGAUAUGUUGGCUUCUGCUGCUGCAUAUUGACCAUUAUUUUUGUAUGUAAGUACAAUACUAAAUCCAGGAGUACCAUUACCCUUAAAUACAAUAUAAAAAGGUCAAAUUUGAUGCAGCAGUGGCUGAGGUAUCCUGACUUGAAUAGAAACUAAAAGUUUGACAACCCUCCUCUCUGGAAUCAGUAAUAAACUCCAGAGGAAGAGGAGUCCCUACUGUCUAAAAGCAGUAACACCUGCAGUGUAAGUGCAGUUCUGAUGCCCCCUUGUGCUCAACAUCAGAGACCCAAAGUGUUUAAAAUGAAAUAAUUAUAAAAUCUAUAAUCAUAUUAAUAAUUACAAACAGAUAAACCAUAAGUAGUGGUUAUGUGAAUUAAAAAAAUGCUUCUAACAAGACUUAAAAAUACAACAAAUGCAAAAUAAAAAAAUAAUUGAUUGACAAUUCUUAAUUAUUAAAUUUCAAAAUCUCCAUUUUCCAGAGACAGAGAUUUAAUGAUAAAAUGUGACAUAUGAUAAAAACACAUGCUAAUCUAUAUGAUUAUUUCACUUUAACACUUUGGGUCUUUAUAUUUAUUUGUGUUAUGUAAUUGAUGGUACAUUUUUAUCCAGACUGUAUAUCCAGGUACAGAUUUUCAAAUUGGGGCCCAUGUAUCACUAGAGUAAUAUCUUCAGAACUGUUAGAGCAGAAAACUGAUGAUUUUGUCUUGUUUUUUUUUUUUUUUUUUUUUUAAAUUAGAUUUGACUUUAGCGAAAACAGAGACCUGAUUCUCCAAAGCAUCGUAGCACUGACAUCAUCUAAGCUUCAUUACAACAGAGCAGCAGAGUUAUGAUACGAGGCCUCUGGGGUAUUUCUAGAAGCAGAAGAUUACUCAACCACAUAAUUCAAAAAACUGUCAUUUAAUAUUUUAUCAUGCCUCGACCACAGAUGAUGAUCAUGUCAUCCAUCAGAAACACUACCCGAGUUUAAUUGGAUACUUUAUUAAGAGCUGUUAAAUUCUGUCUGCACACGUGGCUUUUAACUCUCCUGCUUCUGGAAAUGUUGGCUGAAUAUUAACGAUAUUUAACAACCAAAUGAAAAUGGAACUUAGUCACUUAUGCUCAGUCUUUAUACUUACAAGUAGCCUUAUCAUCCAGAAACCAGAUCCUAACUAUUAUAUUGACACAUCUACGGGCAUGGUUAUCAUAACUUACACAAAGGAUCAAACAAAAUCUUUCAGUAAUAUCAGUAAAUUUAUUAGAAUUUAGAAAGGCUGUCAGUGCAUAGAUGCUCUUGGAAAACUUAGCCAUUGUUUGCAGACCUAAAUCAAAUGAAGGAUUUCUUGAUCAAAUCAGCUUAAAAGAGGAAUCUAAAUAAUAUCAACAGAUCAAUUUUCUGUGACUCAGCAUCAGCCUGUACGAGAUGAAACUGCAGAUCAAUGCUGAAUGGUUUGUUGAAAUCAUUUGUUCUCUCCUCAUCAGUAAAUUAUGCUGCACCAGACCAAUAAUAAACCACCAUCAUCACUCCUCUGUUGACUGAUAUCUGUUGCUGUCUGUAUGUCCUCCCUCCUCUUCCUGUCUGUAAAUCUGUCUUAUAGCUGAUGUUUAUGAAGAUGCGGUUCUAUUUACAAAAUAAAUACAUUUUUAAGAAACAA